This 62-nucleotide microRNA precursor is filed under the name Podarcis lilfordi (Lilford's wall lizard). Lineage: Eukaryota; Metazoa; Chordata; Lepidosauria; Squamata; Lacertidae. The record is from RNAcentral.
UGUGUGUGUGUGUGUGUGUGUGUGUGUACACACAUACACACAUGCAUGCACACACACAUACU